RNAcentral lists this ribosomal RNA (450 nucleotides) under uncultured bacterium. RNAcentral describes it as "partial 16S ribosomal RNA". It matches the Rfam family "Bacterial small subunit ribosomal RNA", at positions 338 to 795 of the family's 1533-position model. The record is from RNAcentral.
CCUACGGGUGGCAGCAGUGGGGAAUAUUGCGCAAUGGGCGAAAGCCUGACGCAGCCACGCCGCGUGAGCGAUGAAGGCCUUCGGGUCGUAAAGCUCUGUGGGGAGAGAAGAAUAAAGCCUGUGAAGAGCGGGCCUUGACGGUAUCUCCUUAGCAAGCACCGGCUAACUCCGUGCCAGCAGCCGCGGUAAUACGGAGGGUGCAAACGUUGCUCGGAAUCAUUGGGCGUAAAGCGCACGUAAGCGGCGGUGUGAAAGCCCCGGGCUCAACCCGGGAAGUGCAUUCAAAACUGUUUCGCUUGAAUCUCGGAGGGGGUCAGAGAAUUCCCGGUGUAGAGGUGAAAUUCGUAGAUAUCGGGAGGAAUACCAGUGGCGAAGGCGCUGACCUGGACGAAGAUUGACGCUGAGGUGCGAAAGCGCGGGGAGCAAACAGGAUUAGAUACCCCGGUAGUC